This 86-nucleotide transfer RNA is filed under the name Drosophila mojavensis. Its description in RNAcentral is "tRNA-Tyr". It matches the Rfam family "tRNA". From Rfam's summary of the family: Transfer RNA (tRNA) molecules are approximately 80 nucleotides in length. The record is from RNAcentral. Lineage: Eukaryota; Metazoa; Arthropoda; Insecta; Diptera; Drosophilidae.
CCUUCGAUAGCUCAGUUGGUAGAGCGAUGGACUGUAGAGUUUUCGAGGUCCAUAGGUCGCUGGUUCAAAUCCGGCUCGAAGGAUCU